UAACACAUGCAAGUCGAACGGCACCACGGAGGGCAACCCUGGUGGCGAGUGGCGAACGGGUGAGUAAUACAUCGGAACGUGUCCUGUAGUGGGGGAUAGCCCGGCGAAAGCCGGAUUAAUACCGCAUACGCUCUACGGAGGAAAGGGGGGGAUCUUAGGACCCCCCGCUACAGGGGCGGCCGAUGGCAGAUUAGCUAGUUGGUGGGGUAAAGGCCUACCAAGGCGACGAUCUGUAGCUGGUCUGAGAGGACGACCAGCCACACUGGGACUGAGACACGGCCCAGACUCCUACGGGAGGCAGCAGUGGGGAAUUUUGGACAAUGGGGGCAACCCUGAUCCAGCAAUGCCGCGUGUGUGAAGAAGGCCUUCGGGUUGUAAAGCACUUUUGUCCGGAAAGAAAACGCCGUGGCUAAUACCCGUGGCGGAUGACGGUACCGGAAGAAUAAGCACCGGCUAACUACGUGCCAGCAGCCGCGGUAAUACGUAGGGUGCAAGCGUUAAUCGGAAUUACUGGGCGUAAAGCGUGCGCAGGCGGUCCGCUAAGACAGAUGUGAAAUCCCCGGGCUUAACCUGGGAACUGCAUUUGUGACUGGCGGGCUAGAGUAUGGCAGAGGGGGGUAGAAUUCCACGUGUAGCAGUGAAAUGCGUAGAGAUGUGGAGGAAUACCGAUGGCGAAGGCAGCCCCCUGG
This 689-nucleotide ribosomal RNA is filed under the name uncultured bacterium. RNAcentral describes it as "bacterial SSU rRNA". It matches the Rfam family "Bacterial small subunit ribosomal RNA", at positions 49 to 732 of the family's 1533-position model. The record is from RNAcentral.